GGGGGGGGGGGGGGGGGGGGGGGGGGGGGGGGGGGGGGGGGAGGGGGGGGGGAGCUGGCUCCGUCGACGGUGGCGGCGGGCGGGUGGGUGACACGUAGGUGACCUACCUAUAGGACUGGGAUAACUUCGGGAAACCGGAGCGAAUACCGGAUAAUAUUUCGAACCGCAUGGUUCGAUAGUGAAAGCUGGCUUUGCUAUCACUUAUAGAUGGACCUGCGCCGUAUUAGCUAGUUGGUAAGGUAACGGCGUACCAAGGCAACGAUACGUAGCCGACCUGAGAGGGUGAUCGGCCACACUGGAACGGAGACACGGUCCAGACUCCUACGGGAGGCAGCAGUAGGGAAUCUUCCGCAAUGGGCGAAAGCCUGACGGAGCAACGCAGCGGGAGUGAUGAAGGUCUUCGGAUCGUAAAACUCUGUUAUUAGGGAAGAACAAACGUGUAAGUAACUGUGCACGUCUUGACGGUACCUAAUCAGAAAGCCACGGCUAACUACGUG
Molecule: ribosomal RNA, 497 nt
Filed under: uncultured bacterium
Lineage: Bacteria
Description: partial 16S ribosomal RNA
Rfam family: Bacterial small subunit ribosomal RNA
Source: RNAcentral